GGUUGAUAAGCUGGAAAACAAUGCUGUACAAUAUGCAUUUACAAAACAUGUUUCCAAGGGAACUAGAUAAAUGCGCCCCCAAACAAAAUGAAUUUUUUUUUUACAUCAAUAAGUAAUCCGAAAAUGGGCUUCCAUUUUCAAGGAAAGUGCAGGAAAAAACAAGCUGCUUCUAUAAACUAAAGGCAUAUGCAACAGCACGUGCAUUAUCACAUUUUAUGUAUGAUGAUUACCUGUACCCAGAAUGUCAAUAAAGCCCAAGAAAGCAGUACCAAAAAUCCCCAAGCCAACAAAGUAACAGAGAUCUGAAAAAAAAAACCUUUCGCAUAGUCAUGGCAAAGGACAAAGAUUUGCCUUUUUCACUUCUGACAGCCAAUGCAGUCCCCAGCCUAACUUCUAACAAAAAUCCUGGAUCUUUCUCUGACAGAGUUGAUGGAAAGAAAUGAAAAGAAGAAAAUCACUACUAACGUUUACAACUUGUUUGAUUUGAUAACUGAUAGCCAAAUAACCGAU
Molecule: unclassified non-coding RNA, 510 nt
Filed under: Hevea brasiliensis (rubber tree)
Lineage: Eukaryota; Viridiplantae; Streptophyta; Magnoliopsida; Malpighiales; Euphorbiaceae
Source: RNAcentral